GUGGAUACUGUCAAUGUUUGAUCGACAGGAUAUCGUGAAAAAUGACCUAAUAUGCAGCAAAGGACAUUAUGUGGCCAGUCAGAAGAAGAAAAGUCACUACACUCAUACUGGCUGUUAGAACUGAGAAGUGAAGCACUAGAAAUAUUCCAUAACGUUCAUGAGAAUAGCCACAAGAUGAUCAGAGGAUCAUGUAAACUCUCCAAAUGCAGUACUGAAAACAAUUUUUGAAAUAAGUAUACUGUAACCAAUUACUUAUAAAAACUACAGGAGACCCAUUGGGGUAUGUAACUCCUGAGAUAGAAUAUGUAACUUUGCACAAAUCUUGAAAAUUAAAAUUAUUGAUUUUUUUCUGU
Long non-coding RNA from Leptinotarsa decemlineata (Colorado potato beetle), 353 nucleotides. NCBI's taxonomy places the organism in Eukaryota, Metazoa, Arthropoda, Insecta, Coleoptera, Chrysomelidae. The record is from RefSeq and is a predicted model, not a curated record.